GAUGAACGCUGGCGGCGUGCCUAAUACAUGCAAGUCGAGCGAACGGACGAGAAGCUUGCUUCUCUGAUGUUAGCGGCGGACGGGUGAGUAACACGUGGAUAACCUACCUAUAAGACUGGGAUAACUUCGGGAAACCGUAGCUAAUACCGGAUAAUAUUUUGAACCGCAUGGUUCAAAAGUGAAAGACGGUCUUGCUUUCACUUAUAGAUGGAUCCGCGCUGCAUUAGCUAGUUGGUAAGGUAACGGCUUACCAAGGCAACGAUGCAUAGCCGACCUGAGAGGGUGAUCGGCCACACUGGAACUGAGACACGGUCCAGACUCCUACGGGAGGCAGCAGUAGGGAAUCUUCCGCAAUGGGCGAAAGCCUGACGGAGCAACGCCGCGUGAGUGAUGAAGGUCUUCGGAUCGUAAAACUCUAUUAUUAGGGAAGAACAUAUGUGUAAGUAACUGUGCACAUCUUGACGGUACCUAAUCAGAAAGCCACGGCUAACUACGUG
This 497-nucleotide ribosomal RNA is filed under the name uncultured bacterium. Its description in RNAcentral is "partial 16S ribosomal RNA". It matches the Rfam family "Bacterial small subunit ribosomal RNA", at positions 28 to 507 of the family's 1533-position model. The record is from RNAcentral.